Molecule: long non-coding RNA, 943 nt
Organism: Gymnogyps californianus (California condor)
Lineage: Eukaryota; Metazoa; Chordata; Aves; Accipitriformes; Cathartidae
Exons: 6
Source: RefSeq, a predicted model, not a curated record
AGAGCCAUACACAGUGACACAUAGGUCCCCCUUCUGCAUGAAUUAAACUGAUUUGGCACGUUGAUGUGUGGGUUAUUUGAGUUCUCCUUUGCAGUACAGAUGUACCUGUGAUGAACUUCAUUACAAGCAUACUGCCCUGUCAUCUAGCUACCAAAUGCCAAGAUGCGUCCAAGAGAUUGAAGCCAAAGGCAAAUAUUAUAAAGAGGAACCCAGCCAGGAAAUCUUGCCACCAGCCGCUACUUUGAGAAGGAGCCAGCAGCUGCUCCUCAGAGGACUCCGUCCAGAUGCUUGCUGGGAGAAGGACACAAGAAAGAGAUCCAGUUUCAGAUGCGGUCUUUGUUCAGCUUUCUCAGUUUGGUUUCCUAAAGGGCCAUUUUGGCGGAUGCUGAAGUUGUGCUCAGCACCUCAGAAUACCGCGACUGGAUUACAGAGGGCAUGUUUCUCACAGUUUUCUGUCCAUUUCUAGCAGGACAAAGGCAAUUUCUAUGCAGUGUUACCAGAUGGGGUGAUUUAAAGACUUUUCACUAGUCCUUUGGCCGUAAAAUACCUGAUGUCCCCAGUUUGUGCCAGAAACUUGAGUCUGCCCCUGCUGCAGUUUCUGCAUUGAUCUGCAGACCUUGUCCCAUGGGUCCAGGUUGGGACAAGCUGCUGGAGGAUUAAAAACUUGUCCUGCUCAGCCAGGCACUGUUCCCCGGAUACUUUGGACACUGCUUCAGGAGGAAAGGACAAACUGCCACGGCUGUGAGCCCACGUUAAAGACAAGAGAAAAUGUUGAUCAACCAAGAUGAUGAACACAAGAUCCAAGGUAUUUCUGCCUCCCAGGAGAAGCCCUGUUUCCUUUGGCAGGGAAGGCAGCACCUGCUCUUACAGACUGUCCUUGUGAAAGCAGCGAGCAUGAUCUACUGCCACUGUAUUGGGCAAUAUAAAGAAUGAAUGGGAUCAG